CUCUUGGCCGCCACCCCCUUUUCUCCCCCUUGGCUGGACGCCCCCUCCCCCUAUGGCAGCCAUCAUCCAUUGCUUCCUCCCCCAAGAUCUCCCCCUACGCAGCAAGGAUCGAGAAAAGGAGGGGCACGUUGAAUUGAAGAGGAAGAGAGGAUCAAGGAGAUGUUCUUCCCCAUCUCUUCUUGAAGAUUUCUUGGGGAAACCCUAGGUGGCUACACUCCAGAUCAUGUCUAGUACAUUUCUUCUUCUUCGAUGAAGGCAAGUGAAUGUAGCGGUGGUUGCUUCCGUUCUGACCUGUUAUUUCUAUUGCCUACACUCUAAUAUUCAGAAGUAUCAGAUUCUUUCAUAAUUGGACUCUAUGGUGAUGCUUUACUUGCUUGCAUUAUACUGAUGCUCAAUCAUAUAUUGAUGAUGAUUAUGAUUUGAGUAUGACUCACGAGAUUAAUUCACAUAUCUGAAGGUAAAUGAAGUAUUAUUUGAGGUUGGUAUUGUAUCUGAAGAUAAAUGAAGUAUUAUUUGAGGUUUGUGUUGUAUCUGAAGGAAGUGAAGUUUAUUGAUAAAUGUAGCAUGCCAUAUACAUUGCAUGACUCAUUUGCAUAUGAAGUUUUGUCGUGACCUAUGGUCCGACCGUACCGGUACAACUUAGCAUCGUACGUUGCCCGAGAAGGGGUAUGAUGCGGCUUCAUACCCUUAGAGGUAUGAAGGCAGAGGACAUAAGCAUUGCAUUCAUAUGCAUUCAUUGAAGUGAUAUUUGCAGAUGAUGUGGUUUUAUACCCCCAGAGGUAUGAAGAUAGAGUACCUACGCAUUGCAUUCAUAUGCAUUCAUUGAAGUGAUAUUUGCAGAUGAUGUGGUUUUAUACCCCCAGAGGUAUGAAGAUAGAGUACCUACACAUUGCAUUCCUAUGCAUACAUUGAAGUGAUAUUUGCAGGUAUUGUUGACGCAGGGAAGUGUUAUAGAACCUAUUGUGGUUGUUCGAGGAAAUGAGAUGGUAUUGGUUAUAGUGGGACUACUGUGUUCUAUAUCUACAAGUAUUUCUGAUUUUUUUAUUGUGUCUCUUUUAAAAUGUUGAUGAAUUCAAUUUGUGGUUUAAAUAUCUCGUCAGAACAAUUAGCUUGCUGAGAUGUUUCAUCUCACUCUUGCAUUACUCAAUGCAGGUGCUUGUUGCUCAUCAAGGGGAGUGGGAAGUAGCAGCACAUCCACCUUCACUCUCAUAAUAAUGCUGCCCAGACACAGCCAUGAUUUAAUUAGAAACUUCUUGUCAAAGGAUGUUUGUUUUUAACUAGUCGUGCGCUCUGAUUAAUUCAGUUCAUUGUUGUUAUGGUUGUCUUCACAUUGCUAGCAGAUUAUUAAUGUCUUAUAUGUUUUCUUAUCAUGAUAUCUAUUUAUACUUUGUUGCUUCCCCCGUUUAUGCAAUUUUCAAAGGAGAUGCUGUCGAAAUUUUAUAUAUGAAUGUUAGAUGUGUAGUUUAGUAGCAUUCUGGGGUGUUUGUGGAUCCCGGGGUGUUACAGUUGGUAUCAAAGGAUAGGCUUUAGAUUCUUGGCAAUUUGAAGAUAAAUUUGACACACUUGCACAUAUAGGAAGGGUAUGGGUUCAAAUAUCUUUGAUAUAUAUUAAUGUCUUUGGAGUGCAGAUGACAAUAGUUUCACCCCUCCCUAUUCCUUUACGGUGAUGUGGUAAGUUGUUUAUGGCUUAAUGCUUGAUAUAAUUUAUUUCUGAAAUUUUGAUAUUGUUUUAUUAAUGCGGUAGAUAUCGCUGGUCAUUGGUGAGAAUGAAGUUGUUAUUAUGCUUGUGAUAUACAAGUAUGCCUAUGUCGUUUUCACCAUGUUUUUCAUGGUUGUGUUUUAUUACAAUAAUAUUGUUAUAUAUGCUUGAUUGUGGAUGUUUCUAAGAGGAGUGUGAAUUGCGUGUUUUGGGGUACAAGGUAAUCAUCAAUUUGAAUUUAAGUUGUUGAGCGGUUGGUGGAUAGCUCCAACUAUCAUUGCAAAGAAUGAUUGUUUAUGUUGAGAAACCAGUUUUGAAAGAAAUGAAUAUUGGUACUUUAUAUGGAUUUUUGGGGGAAGUCUUUUCAUAGCCAGAAUGGCUUACAUGUCUCUCUCAUAUUGUGUGUUCUAGUUGCCACAAAGCCUAGAUGUGGUUUAAAGUGGUUGCCUAUUAGUCAUACUAAUUGUAGAAUAAAUCUUUGAUUCUCUUGAUCCAUUGAUUAUGUAUUGAUACAUUGAGGAUCUGAUGGUUCCCUUUUCGAUGCAUGCUUGUGGAGCCAUUUUUUUAGACCACCUAUCUAUUGGUUUGAAGGAAGUCCUUGCCUAGCCUAGAGUUGGUUGGGUGUGGCUAGUCACCUACUCCUAGAUGAUGUGGUGUUUACAUCAGCUUAAUAUGUUUGUCAAAUGUGUGAAGGAUUAGGGGUUAUUAUUAUUGACUUUGUAUGUCUGGUACUUUGAGUGCAUCGUAUGAUAGAAUGAAAUGUAAGUUUCUGAACUACAGUAGAUGAAGACUUAUAUUAUGUGUAGGUUAUCCUUACUAGUUGGAUAUUUUUCUUAGUUGAGAUGUUGAAUGAAGUAUAGUGACAUGGGUUAAGCAAGUAUUGUGUUGUUGUUGGGCUAUCAGUGCUCUAUGUAGAGUUUUUGGCAUUUCUUCGAUGAACUAUGCCGCACAAGAUGUUAUUGGCUUCUUUUGGCUUUAUUGCUCCAUUAGUUCUAUAGAUUUUCUCCCUUUUGGUGGGGUGUAAGGAAUGUUAGAUUACAUGAUUAUCUUUUCAUGAUGGCAAGAAUAAGGUUUAGAAAGAUUAGGAGUUUUGUUCCAAUAGAACUACUUGUUUCAUGGUGCUUUAAGGUGAGGUGUUUGAUCUUCUUAUACAUUCGUCGGGUGUAGAUGUUUCACCAUUUAAUUAAAAUUAAUGGUUGAAGUUGGUAAGGGUUGUGCUUGGUCCAUAUUACCCCUUCAUAAAAGAGUGUUGUCUUAAGACAUUGAUGUUGAUGUAUAGCUGCAUCCAAAUUUGAUGGUGUGAAAUUGUAGUGUUGAUUGCAACUAUGACAUGCUUUGAGCUUCAUUACAUGUUGUUUCAUGCUUGAUGUCAGGUCGUGUAGUUUCCUUAGACAAUUAGUCCAAGGUAGAAGUUCUUGUGUUAAUUAAGACCAAUAAUGGAUCCAUGUUUUGAAUUGUGGUGCUAUAUGGGGUACCUUGGGUGUUUUGCUUGGAGUGGCCGAAUUCGAGGUCGAAUUCUUUUUAAGGGGGGUAGAAUGUAAUAUCCCAAAAAAAUGUUGACCAAAAGUUAAUCUCUGGUGCGUGGAUGAGGUAAAGGGUUGUGGGCCAUUGGAUGCAAAGAUAGAAGUCAUCUGAGGCGUCGUUUCUUUCUCCCACAAAAACCCUAGGUGGCCACCCCUUUUUUUUCCCUUCACCCCCCCUCUUGGCCGCCACCCCCUUUUCUCCCCCUUGGCUGGACGCCCCCUCCCCCUAUGGCAGCCAUCAUCCAUUGCUUCCUCCCCCAAGAUCUCCCCCUACGCAGCAAGGAUCGAGAAAAGGAGGGGCACGUUGAAUUGAAGAGGAAGAGAGGAUCAAGGAGAUGUUCUUCCCCAUCUCUUCUUGAAGAUUUCUUGGGGAAACCCUAGGUGGCUACACUCCAGAUCAUGUCUAGUACAUUUCUUCUUCUUCGAUGAAGGCAAGUGAAUGUAGCGGUGGUUGCUUCCGUUCUGACCUGUUAUUUCUAUUGCCUACACUCUAAUAUUCAGAAGUAUCAGAUUCUUUCAUAAUUGGACUCUAUGGUGAUGCUUUACUUGCUUGCAUUAUACUGAUGCUCAAUCAUAUAUUGAUGAUGAUUAUGAUUUGAGUAUGACUCACGAGAUUAAUUCACAUAUCUGAAGGUAAAUGAAGUAUUAUUUGAGGUUGGUAUUGUAUCUGAAGAUAAAUGAAGUAUUAUUUGAGGUUUGUGUUGUAUCUGAAGGAAGUGAAGUUUAUUGAUAAAUG
This 3958-nucleotide long non-coding RNA is filed under the name Zea mays. RNAcentral's name for it is "long non-coding RNA (ZMAY_LNC002706)". The record is from RNAcentral. Lineage: Eukaryota; Viridiplantae; Streptophyta; Magnoliopsida; Poales; Poaceae.